AUGGCGUCACCACUCGCCGCCUCCGCCACGCGCCAUGACAGCCGCAGCGCCGCCCACCUUCAUAGGCCGACACACGGCCCGGAGCUCCAUCGUGCAGCCGCCGGCAAGCGUCGUCACCACCGGCACGCCUCCGGCACGGCGAACUCCGCCCAAGACAACCAAGCUCAUGAUACCAAAUGUUGGAACCGCUCUCUUUCUCUCACUCGCACAAACGAAGGUGGAAGAUGGAGCACACAAUUUUUCCGGCACACAAACGCCUCCGCCGCACGAACGGCGCCUCGGCCGCACGAACGGCUUCACUUUACUAGGUACAUACCCGGGCGCGGCAACACACCGCAGCCUAACCAGAGGAGCUCUUUCACAGCCGACCGGGCGCAUACCACGGUCCCGGCGGAGACUACCUCAUCUCUGGCUCCUAGGCUCGGCUCAUACCGGCGCAUCUUGAUCAGUACAUUGAAGGGCUUUUUAUACCCAGACGCACACACACCUAGCUAG
RNAcentral lists this ribosomal RNA (495 nucleotides) under Triticum aestivum (bread wheat). Its description in RNAcentral is "partial small subunit ribosomal RNA". Lineage: Eukaryota; Viridiplantae; Streptophyta; Magnoliopsida; Poales; Poaceae. The record is from RNAcentral.